Molecule: long non-coding RNA, 405 nt
Filed under: Androctonus crassicauda
Lineage: Eukaryota; Metazoa; Arthropoda; Arachnida; Scorpiones; Buthidae
Source: RNAcentral
GAAAAGCAUUAAAUACCUAAAAUGCACUUUGUUUUCUUCCAUAUUCAAAGGUGUAUAAAACUGACAAAAGUUAACGAAUCGCAAUCAAAUUUUUUCCAAAUAUGGCUGAAGUACUGUCUUUUAUGAUAUCUACGCAGUUAGUUUUUUCAAUCAUUCUGAUAGAUUCAGACCUGUCAUUACGCCACCUAUCAAAAAUCGGCACAAACUUUCCGAACAACCCAAUAAUAACCUCAAAAACGUAUGCCAUUCCAAAUAUGAUACAUAUCAGGGAAUAUCCAAAAUUUACAUCAUGCUGUUUGGAGGAACAUGUAGUAGAUUUGUGACGAUAAAUGAUGUAGUGAGAGGGACUCAUGCUAAAUGUGACAUUAUACUAUAAAAAUGGUUAAAGAAUUUUGUCUUUCUGAC